This 843-nucleotide ribosomal RNA is filed under the name uncultured bacterium. RNAcentral's name for it is "bacterial SSU rRNA". It matches the Rfam family "Bacterial small subunit ribosomal RNA", at positions 17 to 863 of the family's 1533-position model. The record is from RNAcentral.
UCAUGGCUCAGGACGAACGCUGGCGGCGCGCCUAACACAUGCAAGUCGAACGGAGUUAAUUCACCUGAAGUUUUCGGAUGGACGGAGAGUUAACUUAGUGGCGAACGGGUGAGUAACGCGUGGGUAACCUGCCUUUUAGAGGGGGACAACAGUUGGAAACGACUGCUAAUACCGCAUAAGACCACGGUACCGCAUGGUACAGUGAUCAAAGGAGCAAUCCGCUAAAAGAUGGGCCCGCGUCUGAUUAGAUAGUUGGUGGGGUAACGGCCUACCAAGUCGACGAUCAGUAGCCGGACUGAGAGGUUGAUCGGCCACAUUGGGACUGAGACACGGCCCAGACUCCUACGGGAGGCAGCAGUGGGGAAUAUUGCACAAUGGAGGAAACUCUGAUGCAGCGACGCCGCGUGAGGGAAGAAGGUAUUCGUAUUGUAAACCUCUGUCUUCGGGGACGAUAAUGACGGUACCCGAGGAGGAAGCACCGGCUAACUACGUGCCAGCAGCCGCGGUAAUACGUAGGGUGCGAGCGUUGUCCGGAAUUACUGGGUGUAAAGGGAGCGUAGGCGGCUCUGCAAGUUGGAAGUUUAAUCUAGGGGCUCAACCCCUAAUCGCUUUCAAAACUGCAGAGCUUGAGUGAAGUAGAGGUAGGCGGAAUUUCCGGUGUAGCGGUGGAAUGCGUAGAUAUCGGAAGGAACACCAGUGGCGAAGGCGGCCUACUGGGCUUUAACUGACGCUGAGGCUCGAAAGCGUGGGUAGCAAACAGGAUUAGAUACCCUGGUAGUCCAUGCUGUAAACGAUGAUUACUAGGUGUGGGCCGAAAGGUCCGUGCCGCAGUUAACACAAUAA